CCUACGGGAGGCAGCAGUGGGGAAUAUUGCACAAUGGGGGAAACCCUGAUGCAGCGACGCCGCGUGAGUGAAGAAGUAUUUCGGUACGUAAAGCUCUAUCAGCAGGGAAGAAAAUGACGGUACCUGACUAAGAAGCCCCGGCUAACUACGUGCCAGCAGCCGCGGUAAUACGUAGGGGGCAAGCGUUAUCCGGAUUUACUGGGUGUAAAGGGAGCGUAGACGGCAGCGCAAGUCUGGAGUGAAAUCCCAUGGCUUAACCAUGGAACUGCUUUGGAAACUGUGCAGCUAGAGUGCAGGAGAGGUAAGCGGAAUUCCUAGUGUAGCGGUGAAAUCCGUAGAUAUUAGGAAGAACACCAGUGGCGAAGGCGGCUUACUGGACUGUAACUGACGUUGAGGCUCGAAAGCGUGGGGAGCAAACAGGAUUAGAUACCCUUGUAGUC
Molecule: ribosomal RNA, 440 nt
Filed under: uncultured bacterium
Lineage: Bacteria
Description: partial 16S ribosomal RNA
Rfam family: Bacterial small subunit ribosomal RNA
Source: RNAcentral